CCUACGGGGGGCAGCAGUGGGGAAUAUUGGACAAUGGGCGCAAGCCUGAUCCAGCCAUGCCGCGUGUGUGAAGAAGGCCUUCGGGUUGUAAAGCACUUUUGUUGGGGAAGAAAAGCAGUCAAUUAAUACCUGAUUGUUCUGACGGUACCCAAAGAAUAAGCACCGGCUAACUUCGUGCCAGCAGCCGCGGUAAUACGAAGGGUGCAAGCGUUACUCGGAAUUACUGGGCGUAAAGCGUGCGUAGGUGGUUUGUUAAGUCAGAUGUGAAAGCCCCGGGCUCAACCUGGGAAUUGCAUUUGAUACUGGCGAACUAGAGUGAGGUAGAGGAGAGUGGAAUUCCCGGUGUAGCAGUGAAAUGCGUAGAGAUCGGGAGGAACAUCAGUUGCGAAGGCGGCUCUCUGGACCAUCACUGACACUGAGGCACGAAAGCGUGGGGAGCAAACAGGAUUAGAUACCCCAGUAGUC
Molecule: ribosomal RNA, 465 nt
Filed under: uncultured bacterium
Lineage: Bacteria
Description: bacterial SSU rRNA
Rfam family: Bacterial small subunit ribosomal RNA
Source: RNAcentral